Molecule: ribosomal RNA, 303 nt
Filed under: uncultured bacterium
Lineage: Bacteria
Description: partial 16S ribosomal RNA
Rfam family: Bacterial small subunit ribosomal RNA
Source: RNAcentral
AGCAGUAGCCGCGGGAAUACGGAGGGGGCUAGCGUUGUUCGGAAUUACUGGGCGUAAAGCGCACGUAGGCGGCUUUGUAAGUUAGAGGUGAAAGCCCGGAGCUCAACUCCGGAAUUGCCUUUAAGACUGCAGAGCUAGCAGGUGAGAGAGGUGAGUGGAAUUCCGAGUGUAGAGGUGAAAUUCGUAGAUAUUCGGAAGAACACCAGUGGCGAAGGCGGCUCACUGGCUCAUACUGGACGCUGAGGUGCGAAAGCGUGGGGAGCAAACAGGAUUAGAUACCCCAGUAGUCCCUGUCUCUUAUAA